RNAcentral lists this ribosomal RNA (468 nucleotides) under uncultured bacterium. RNAcentral describes it as "partial 16S ribosomal RNA". It matches the Rfam family "Bacterial small subunit ribosomal RNA", at positions 28 to 507 of the family's 1533-position model. The record is from RNAcentral.
GACGAACGCUGGCGGCGUGCUUAACACAUGCAAGUCGAACGGAAAGGCCCUGCUUUUGUGGGGUGCUCGAGUGGCGAACGGGUGAGUAACACGUGAGUAACCUGCCCUUGACUUUGGGAUAACUUCAGGAAACUGGGGCUAAUACCGGAUAGGAGCUCCUGCUGCGUGGUGGGGGUUGGAAAGUUUCGGCGGUUGGGGAUGGACUCGCGGCUUAUCAGCUUGUUGGUGGGGUAGUGGCUUACCAAGGCUUUGACGGGUAGCCGGCCUGAGAGGGUGACCGGCCACAUUGGGACUGAGAUACGGCCCAGACUCCUACGGGAGGCAGCAGUGGGGAAUAUUGCACAAUGGGCGGAAGCCUGAUGCAGCAACGCCGCGUGCGGGAUGGCGGCCUUCGGGUUGUAAACCGCUUUCGCCUGUGACGAAGCGUGAGUGACGGUAAUGGGUAAAGAAGCACCGGCUAACUACGUG